UUACCAUUGGCCCCAGUAUGAGCGGAUGUCAAGUGAUUCCUUGAAUCUCUUCAGAUGUUGUGGAAAUAAUGAGCUUAUUACAGUCAAGUAAUCCGCAGUCAUGUUUUUGUAUGCAUGUCAAGGGCUACGACUGGAUGUGUUGACAGCUCCAGCUGUGCGGAUUUGUUGGUAUAUUGCAAAUGAAAAGAGCUAAGGACACCAUCAGCAGUGCAAAGAAAAUGGUGUUUGGUCCGCCGGCAGCAUGACAUCACUCAGUGUUUCCCUUCCUUGACCUUUGUCUGAUGCCAGCUCCGAGGACCUGACAGGAGGGGUCUGCUGUCGGGCACCUUGUAUCCACUUAGCUGAUAUUUCAGACAACUAAUAAGAAACAAGAAUCGAGGAAGUAUAUUAAGUUUUAAAUAUGUUCUUGUUGUUGUUUGCUUGUUAAUUAGUUGUGACAGAUGUAGCUGUGUAACAGAUGCUCUGCUUGAGGAAGAACAAAUCCACAUUUCUAUGAUGAGGAAAUCAUGCUGUAUUCUGCAGUAACUUAGUACAUUUACUCAAGUACAAUUUUGAGGUAUGUGUACUUGAGUUUUUUCAUUUUCUGCUGCUUCAGACUUUCACUACAUUUAAGAGGCAACUGUUGUACAUUUUACUCCACUACAUUUAUUGGAUAACUUCAGUUAGCUAUCCAAUAUACAACAUAAUCACUUCACUUUAUUGAUACCUGGUAGAAAAUUCACAAAAUGCCCAUUAGUACAGUAAAUUCUAAACAUGUUAGGUAAUUGAAAUGAGCUCCACCUUUACUGGCUGCAACAUUAAAGUGAUGAACACAAUAAUGCCUCGGUACUUGUAAUACAAUUAUAUGAUAAACGUUAAUGUCAAAUGUGCUAUUCUGCAUAAUAUGUACUUUUACUUUUUGGUACUUUAAAUAUUUUGAUGCCAAUACUUU
Monopterus albus (swamp eel) is the source of this 931-nucleotide long non-coding RNA. RefSeq lists it as uncharacterized. NCBI's taxonomy places the organism in Eukaryota, Metazoa, Chordata, Actinopteri, Synbranchiformes, Synbranchidae. The transcript has 4 exons. The record is from RefSeq and is a predicted model, not a curated record.